CGUAUAUUAAAGUUGUUGCGGUUAAAAAGCUCGUAGUUGGUUCUGCGUGCCGCGCUGUCGGUUCGCCGCCUGUCGGUGUAACUGGCAUGUCGCGGCAUGUCCUGUCGGUGGUGAACGGAGUCCACAAUGCUACAUAGGCUUUAUAGCCGAUGUUAGCGUCGUGUGUACUUCCGUUGGCCGAUCUCUCCUACUUCGGUGCUCUUAAACGAGUGUCGAGGUAGGCCGACACGUUCACUUUGAACAAAUUAGAGUGCUUAAAGCAGGCUGAAAUAUCUGCCUGAAUAGUGGUGCAUGGAAUGAUAAAACAGGACCUCGGUUCUAUUUUGUUGGUUUUAGGAAUAUGAGGUAAUGAUCAAUGUGGACAGGCGGGGGCAUUCGUAUUGCGACGUUAGAGGUGAAAUUCUUGGAUCGUCGCAAGACGCACUAGAGCGAAAGCAUUUGCCAAGUAUGUCUUAAUUGAUCAAGAACGAAAGUUAGAGGUUCGAAGGCGAUCAGAUACCGCCCUAGUUCUAACCAUAAACGAUGCCAGCCAGCGAUCCGCCGAUGUUCCUUUAAUGACUCGGCGGGGAGCUUCCACCCGGGAAACCAAAGCUUUUGGGUUCCGGGGGAAGUAUGGUUGCAAAG
This 624-nucleotide ribosomal RNA is filed under the name Panstrongylus howardi. Its description in RNAcentral is "SSU rRNA". It matches the Rfam family "Eukaryotic small subunit ribosomal RNA", at positions 598 to 1136 of the family's 1831-position model. The record is from RNAcentral. Lineage: Eukaryota; Metazoa; Arthropoda; Insecta; Hemiptera; Reduviidae.